GUAGCCCGGGCGGUGCUUCCCC
This 22-nucleotide microRNA is filed under the name Mus musculus (house mouse). RNAcentral's name for it is "mmu-miR-7666-5p". The record is from miRBase by way of RNAcentral. Lineage: Eukaryota; Metazoa; Chordata; Mammalia; Rodentia; Muridae.